GGAAAGGUGAAAAGAACCCCGAACAGGGGAGUGAAAUAGAACCUGAAACCAUACGCUUACAACCUGUCGGAGCGGCUUCGUGCCGUGACGGCGUGCCUAUUGAAUAAUGAGCCUACGAGUUACUAAUCACUGGCAAGGUUAAGUGCACGGAUGCACGGAGCCGAAGCGAAAGCGAGUCUGAAUAGGGCGUUUAGUCAGUGGUUGUAGACGCGAAACCUUGCGAUCUACCCUUGAGCAGGUUGAAGGUUGGGUAAAACCAACUGGAGGACCGAACGAAUAAGCGUUGAAAAGCUUCUCGAUGACUUGAGGGUAGGGGUGAAAGGCUAAUCAAGCUGGGAAAUAGCUCGUACUCCCCGAAAUGCCUUUAGGGGCAGCGUUGUAAUUAAGAGUCUACUGGAGGUAGAGCUACUGAUUGGAUGCGGGGGCUUCACCGCCUACCAAAUCCUGACAAACUCCGAAUGCCAGUAGUAUGAUUUACAGCAGUGAGCGACCGGGUGCUAAUGUCCGGUUACGAGAGUGGAACAACACAGACCAGCAACUAAGGUCCCCAAGAGUAUACUAAGUUGAUCUAACGAUGUUUUGCUGCAGAGACAGCUAGGAUGUUAGCUUGGAAGCAGCUAUUCAUUCAAAGAGUGCGUAACAGCUCACUAGUCGAGCGGCAAAGCGUGGAUAAUAAACGGGCAUCAAGUAUACCACCGAAGUUCUGGGCACGAAAGUGCGGUAGGGGAGCAUUCCAUUCCGCGUUGAAGCCGAACCGUGAGGUUUGGUGGAGUGUAUGGAAAAGCAAAUGUAGGCAUGAGUAACGAUAAUGCGGGAGAGUAACCCGCACACCGCAAGACCAAGGUUUCCUGAUCAACGCUAAUCGGAUCAGGGUUAGUCGGGUCCUAAGGGUAAGCCGAACGGUGAUCUCGAUGGAUAAUCGGUUAAUAUUCCGAUACUGACAUAUACCUCGAUGGAGAGACGAAGGAACGUAAGUGCCGCCACCUGACGGAAUAGGUGGUUAAAGGGCUUAGGUAUAGGGGCAGAUUAAGAGUUAGUCCUUGCUGAAACCUGACAGUACAGAGAGCCUACGGGCAAUUUGAUAGUGCACCCAAGUCGACUUCCGAGAAAAUCUUCUAAGUUAUAGUAUAUGUCACCCGUACCGUAAACCGACACAGGUGGUCGAGGAGAGUAUCCUAAGGUGCUCGAGUGAAUCACGGUUAAGGAACUAGGCAAAUUAACCCCGUAACUUCGGGAAAAGGGGUCCCAUCGCGAGGUGGGCGCAGCGAAGAGGUCCAGGCGACUGUUUAUCAAAAACACAGGGCUCUGCAAAUUCGAAAGAAGACGUAUAGGGCCUGACACCUGCCCGGUGCUGGAAGGUUAAGAGGGGAUGUCAUCGCAAGAGAAGCAUUGAAUCGAAGCCCCAGUAAACGGCGGCCGUAACUAUAACGGUCCUAAGGUAGCGAAAUUCCUUGUCGGGUAAGUUCCGACCUGCACGAAUGGUGUAACGAUCUGGACACUGUCUCAACCGUGAGCUCGGUGAAAUUGUAGUCCCGGUGAUGAUGCCGGGUACCCGCAACGGGACGAAAAGACCCCGUGAACCUUUACUAUAGCUUAACGCUGAAUUUGGGUACACAAUGUGUAGGAUAGGCAGGAGACUACGAAGCGGGCACGCCAGUGUUCGUGGAGUCGACGUUGAAAUACUGCCCUUUGUGUACUUGAGUUCUAACCCUCGAGAGGGGACACCGUUUGGUGGGUAGUUUGACUGGGGUGGUCGCCUCCAAAAGAGUAACGGAGGCUUCCCAAGGUACCCUCAGCACGAAUGGUAACCGUGCGUAGAGUGCAAUAGCAUAAGGGUGCUUGACUGUGAGACCAACAAGUCGAUCAGGUGCGAAAGCAGGGUAUAGUGAUCCGGUGGUUCUGCGUGGACUGGCCAUCGCUCAAAGGAUAAAAGGUACUCCGGGGAUAACAGGCUGAUCGCCGCCAAGAGCUCAUAUCGACGCGGCGGUUUGGCACCUCGAUGUCGGCUCGUCACAUCCUGGGGCUGGAGAAGGUCCCAAGGGUU
RNAcentral lists this ribosomal RNA (2044 nucleotides) under human gut metagenome. Its description in RNAcentral is "bacterial LSU rRNA". It matches the Rfam family "Bacterial large subunit ribosomal RNA", at positions 508 to 2573 of the family's 2925-position model. The record is from RNAcentral.